RNAcentral lists this ribosomal RNA (494 nucleotides) under uncultured bacterium. RNAcentral's name for it is "partial 16S ribosomal RNA". It matches the Rfam family "Bacterial small subunit ribosomal RNA", at positions 28 to 507 of the family's 1533-position model. The record is from RNAcentral.
GACGAACGCUGGCGGCGUGCUUAACACAUGCAAGUCGAACGGAAAGGCCUGUCCUUCCUUGUGUUGGACGGGUACUCGAGUGGCGAACGGGUGAGUAACACGUGAGUGAUCUGCCCCCAACUUGGGUAUAAGCCUGGGAAACUGGGUCUAAUUCCCGAUAGGACUGCAGGGUGGUGCCUGUGGUGGAAAACGAUUUUCUAGUGGUUGGGGAUGAGCUAGCGGCCUAUCAGCUUGUUGGUGGGGUAAUGGCCUACCAAGGCGGCGACGGGUAGCCGGCCUGAGAGGGUGGACGGCCACAUUGGGACUGAGAUACGGCCCAGACUCCUACGGGAGGCAGCAGUGGGGAAUAUUGCACAAUGGGCGGAAGCCUGAUGCAGCGACGCCGCGUGGGGGAUGACGGCCUUCGGGUUGUAAACUCCUUUCGACCGCGAGGAAGCCGCCUGGUUGGAAGGGUGGUGACGGUAGUGGUAGAAGAAGCACCGGCUAACUACGUG